Long non-coding RNA from Passer domesticus (house sparrow), 460 nucleotides. RefSeq lists it as uncharacterized. The transcript is spliced from 2 exons. The record is from RefSeq and is a predicted model, not a curated record. NCBI's taxonomy places the organism in Eukaryota, Metazoa, Chordata, Aves, Passeriformes, Passeridae.
CUUUAUGUUAAAUUAUUCCCCCAAGUUGCCAGCAAGGAUGUGGGAAGAGGAAAAUAAACAGGGGAGAGGCUUCUGGCAGGAUUACGUUCCCUUCUGCUCCUUAUUUCCCCGGCGGAGAUGUUCCUGCACAAGUGCAGGGAAGCAGCUCUCGGGUGGCCCCGGCAGCGCUGAAGGUGAGGGAUGCUGAGGAUCUGGAUCCCCCCGGGAAUGCGGUUCCAUCCUCCCGGCACUCGGGACCGGCCCGGGGAUUAUUGAAUGGAGCCGGCAAGGAUUAAAUCACAUUUAAAAUAUAAAUCCACAUUUAAAUUGUAAAUAAAUAAAUAUAUGGAUAAACGCGUACAUUCCAUAUAUAGCUACAUAUAUAUAUAUAUGUAAAUGCAUAUAAAUUAUCUAAAUAAGCGUUCUAAAUAAAUAUAUCAUUGCUAAAUAUAUCAAAAUAAAUAGACAUAUAAAUAUAUAA